This 84-nucleotide transfer RNA is filed under the name Shigella sonnei. RNAcentral's name for it is "tRNA-Leu". Lineage: Bacteria; Pseudomonadati; Pseudomonadota; Gammaproteobacteria; Enterobacterales; Enterobacteriaceae. The record is from RNAcentral.
GCGAAGGUGGCGGAAUUGGUAGACGCGCUAGCUUCAGGUGUUAGUGUUCUUACGGACGUGGGGGUUCAAGUCNGUUCUUACGGA